GUGGCGAACGGGUGAGUAACGCGUGAGUAAUCUGCCUCAGAGAGGGGGACAACAGUUGGAAACGACUGCUAAUACCGCAUAAGCCCACGGCUUGGCAUCGAGCAGAGGGAAAAGGAGCAAUUCGCUUUGAGAUGGCCUCGCGUCCGAUUAGCUAGUUGGUGAGGUAACGGCCCACCAAGGCGACGAUCGGUAGCCGGACUGAGAGGUUGAACGGCCACGUUGGAACUGAGACACGGUCCAGACUCCUACGGGAGGCAGCAGUGGGGAAUAUUGCACAAUGGGGGAAACCCUGAUGCAGCAACGCCGCGUGAGUGAAGAAGUAUUUCGGUAUGUAAAGUUCUAUCAUUGGGGAAGAUAAUGGCGGUUCCUGAAUAAGUAGGUCCGGGCUAAAUACGUUCCCGCCGCCGCGGUAAUACGUAGGAGCCAGCGUUAUCCGGAUUUUCUGGGUGUAAAGGGUGGGUAGGUGGCAUUGCAAAUUAGAUGUGAAAGUCUGGGGCUUCACCCCGUAGCUGCAUUUGAAACUGCAUAGCUAGAGUGCAGUAGAGGCAGGCGGAAUUCCUAGUGUAGCGGUGAAAUGCGUAGAUAUUAGGAGGAACACCAGUGGCGAAGGCGGCCUGCUGGACUGUUACUGACACUGAGGCACGAAAGCGUGGGGAGCAAACAGAAUUAGAUACCCUGGUAGUCCACGCCGUAAACGAUGAUUAAAAGGUGUGGGGGCUGUAUCGCCUUCGGUGCCGCACGCAAACCCAGUAAGUAUAUCCACAUGGGGAGUGCGCUCGCAAGUAAUGAAACUGCAAAGGAAUCGAGGAGGACCCGCGACAAGCAGUGUCGGAGACAGUGCGGUUUAAUUUGAAUGCAACAGAGAAGAACGUUUAACAGUUCGAGACCUCUCUUCGUCCGCGCGGUGAUGGGGGGUCUCGUUUUGCGCACACGAAGAGACAGGUGGCGCAUGGUUGUCGUCCAGCUGGAGUCGGGAGAUGGUGUCAGUGUCCAGCGACGAGUGCACCUCUCAUUCUCAGUAGCCAUCAUGGACAGGGGGGGCCCUGUUGCAGAGCCAGCCAGGGAAAACGAGGAGGGAGGAGCGGGAGGCGUACAAAUUCUCAUUCCCUCAACGAUAUGGGGGACACAGGGGUUACAAGGGAGGUCCCAGAGUGAGGAGAACCCGUGCGGCGGAGCAAGCCACAAAAAGCCCGUCCCAGUUCGCAGUGUAGUAUGCAACCAGGAAACACGAAGUCGGAUUAGCUCGUAAUCGCGAAUCAGAAUGUGGCGGUGAACCAGUUCCCGGCUUGAGCCCACACCGCCCGUCA
RNAcentral lists this ribosomal RNA (1307 nucleotides) under uncultured bacterium. RNAcentral's name for it is "partial 16S ribosomal RNA". It matches the Rfam family "Bacterial small subunit ribosomal RNA", at positions 95 to 1399 of the family's 1533-position model. The record is from RNAcentral.